RNA transcript from Mandrillus leucophaeus (drill), 1075 nucleotides. It is a transcript of the gene named Golgi membrane protein 1-like, with no coding region annotated. The annotation marks the transcript as partial. NCBI's taxonomy places the organism in Eukaryota, Metazoa, Chordata, Mammalia, Primates, Cercopithecidae. The transcript has 5 exons. The record is from RefSeq and is a predicted model, not a curated record.
GCGGUUUUGGUGAAUAACAUCACCACAGGCGAGAGGCUCAUCCGAGUGCUGCAAGACCAGUUAAAGACCCUGCAGAGGAAUUACGGCAGGCUGCAGCAGGAUGUCCUCCAGUUUCAGAAGAACCAGACCAACCUGGAGAGGAAGUUCUCCUACGACCUGAGCCAGUGCAUCAGUCAGAUGAAGGAGGUGAAGGAACAGUGUGAGGAGCGAAUAGAAGAGGUCACCAAAAAGGGGAACGAAGCUGUAGCUUCCAGAGACCUGAGUGAAAACAACGACCAGAGACAGCAGCUUCAAGCCCUCAGCGAGCCUCAGCCCAGGCAGCAGGCAGCAGGCCUGCCACGUGCAGAGGUGCCACAAGGGAAAGGAAACGUGCCCGGUAACAGCAAGUUCCAGACUCCAGCCCCCAGUUCCGAAGUGGUUUUGGAUUCGAAGAGACAAGUUGAGAAAGAGGAAAUCAAUGAGAUCCAGGUGGUGAGUGAGGAGGGGCCUCAGAGGGACAGGCUGGGGCUGCCACAGGAGCCAGGCCGGGAGCAGGUGGUGGAAGACAGACCUGUGGACGGAAGAGGCUUCGGGGGAGCCAGAGAACUGGGCCAGACCCCACAGGUGCCAGCUGCCCUGUCAGUGAGCCAGGAAAAUCCGGAGAUGGAGGGCCCCGAGCGAGACCAGCUCGUCAUCCCCGACGGACAGGAGGAGGAGCAGGAAGCUGCCAGGGAAGGUGGGUGUGAAGCUUCGGGGGCCGCCGUGGACUCCCUUCCACCAGACACCCAGCCACCUCCAUCUCCUUCCCAGCACCGACGGAGCACCCUGAAUUUGACCACACACAGUCCACAAUUUGCGAGUUCCUUUUCGUUUGAAGGUUUCUUAGUCGUUUUCAAGAGGGAGGCGGGAAGGAAGAGCGGCACAUGCUCCAGAACUCGAGGUUUUAGAUGCAGGGUCGGCGGAGAGUCGCGGGGACCUUGCAGGUGGGCGGCCUGGAGAUGGGUGCUUAGCAUCCAGGGGACGCCUCCUCCUGGCAGGCCGGCCACAUGGCCCAUCUUUGCAUCUCCACUGUCGUGCAGUGUCUGGUGCCAUUUAG